Lepisosteus oculatus (spotted gar) is the source of this 659-nucleotide long non-coding RNA. RefSeq lists it as uncharacterized. The record is from RefSeq and is a predicted model, not a curated record. NCBI's taxonomy places the organism in Eukaryota, Metazoa, Chordata, Actinopteri, Semionotiformes, Lepisosteidae.
CUGAGAGUGCCACUCAAGUGACUAGAUCAGAGUUGCUGUAAAGAUGCCUCUAAUAAACACCAUAUGCAAGUUUGUUUAGUGGCAUUUUUUAUUUCAAUAUUAUGCCUAAAGAUUUUGUUUUCCUUUAAAUAACAGUGGAAAACGUGAUGACUAUCUGAAGCCUUCAGAGCAGGAGGCUUCAUACUGAUUCCAGUCUUUCACGCUUGCCCUUGAAUUCUCCUCCUCGAUUUCCAUCUCUUCAGUUUCUUACUGACCAAACUGUUCUCACAUUCUUUUUUAUUUUUCUUAUGUCCUCAUUAUCUCUUUGGCUCCUAUUCCUACUCUCUCUCCUCAUUCUUCUUCUCACCUGAAGAAAUGUCCACUGCUGAAAUAUUGUAUUUUUUUUCUUUCUACUUUUCAGUGUGGAAUAAAGCUGUGCUUGUUCCUUUGAAGCUCACACUCUGACAAAUAGUAGCUACACACUCAAACUAUAUCUAAAGAUAACACCCUACUCAUUAAAAUAAUCCAUGGAAAGGAAAGCUAUAGAAGAACAACAACAAUAAUAAAUGAAGGUUAUUUUGUUUUUGUUUAAAGAGAGUCCAUGAUAUUGUUUCUGUAUAAAUGGAUAUUCCGUUCUGUGUAUAUGGGUUUUCUUAAUAAAUUCUUAAAUAAUUCCGUUA